This 995-nucleotide ribosomal RNA is filed under the name uncultured bacterium. RNAcentral describes it as "bacterial SSU rRNA". It matches the Rfam family "Bacterial small subunit ribosomal RNA", at positions 355 to 1375 of the family's 1533-position model. The record is from RNAcentral.
UGGGGGAUAUUGCACAAUGGGGGAAACCCUGAUGCAGCGACGCCGCGUGGAGGAAGAAGGUUUUCGGAUUGUAAACUCCUGUCGUUAGGGACGAUAAUGACGGUACCUAACAAGAAAGCACCGGCUAACUACGUGCCAGCAGCCGCGGUAAAACGUAGGGUGCAAGCGUUGUCCGGAAUUACUGGGUGUAAAGGGAGCGCAGGCGGGCGAUCAAGUUGGAAGUGAAAUCCAUGGGCUCAACCCAUGAACUGCUUUCAAAACUGAUUGUCUUGAGUAGUGCAGAGGUAGGCGGAAUUCCCGGUGUAGCGGUGGAAUGCGUAGAUAUCGGGAGGAACACCAGUGGCGAAGGCGGCCUACUGGGCACCAACUGACGCUGAGGCUCGAAAGUGUGGGUAGCAAACAGGAUUAGAUACCCUGGUAGUCCACACCGUAAACGAUGAUUACUAGGUGUUGGAGGAUUGACCCCUUCAGUGCCGCAGUUAACACAAUAAGUAAUCCACCUGGGGAGUACGACCGCAAGGUUGAAACUCAAAGGAAUUGACGGGGGCCCGCACAAGCAGUGGAGUAUGUGGUUUAAUUCGACGCAACGCGAAGAACCUUACCAAGUCUUGACAUCCUGCGACGAUGCUAGAAAUAGUAUUUUCCUUCGGGACGCAGAGACAGGUGGUGCAUGGUUGUCGUCAGCUCGUGUCGUGAGAUGUUGGGUUAAGUCCCGCAACGAGCGCAACCCUUAUGGUCAGUUACUACGCAAGAGGACUCUGGCCAGACUGCCGUUGACAAAACGGAGGAAGGUGGGGAUGACGUCAAAUCAUCAUGCCCUUUAUGACUUGGGCUACACACGUACUACAAUGGCGUUAAACAAAGAGAAGCAAGACCGCGAGGUGGAGCAAAACUCAGAAACAACGUCCCAGUUCGGACUGCAGGCUGCAACUCGCCUGCACGAAGUCGGAAUUGCUAGUAAUCGCAGAUCAGCAUGCUGCGGUGAAUACGUUCCC